GACGAACGCUGGCGGCGUGCUUAACACAUGCAAGUCGAACGGAAAGGCCCUGCUUUUGUGGGGUGCUCGAGUGGCGAACGGGUGAGUAACACGUGAGUAACCUGCCCUUGACUUUGGGAUAACUUCAGGAAACUGGGGCUAAUACCGGAUAGGAGCUCCUGCUGCAUGGUGGGGGUUGGAAAGUUUCGGCGGUUGGGGAUGGGCUCGCGGCUUAUCAGCUUGUUGGUGGGGUAGUGGCUUACCAAGGCUUUGACGGGUAGCCGGCCUGAGAGGGUGACCGGGCAAAAUGGGACUGAGAUACGGCCCAGACUCCUACGGGAGGCAGCAGUGGGGAAUAUUGCACAAUGGGCGGAAGCCUGAUGCAGCAACGCCGCGUGCGGGAUGACGGCCUUCGGGUUGUAAACCGCUUUCGCCUGUGACGAAGCGUGAGUGACGGUAAUGGGUAAAGAAGCACCGGCUAACUACGUG
RNAcentral lists this ribosomal RNA (468 nucleotides) under uncultured bacterium. Its description in RNAcentral is "partial 16S ribosomal RNA". It matches the Rfam family "Bacterial small subunit ribosomal RNA", at positions 28 to 507 of the family's 1533-position model. The record is from RNAcentral.